AAAAGAAGCAAGGAAAAGAAGCAGUCUCUCUUUCUCAAAAGCAGGUCAAAAUGUUUCAGCUCUUUGAAGAAGAUCCUGAAACAGCAAAAGAAUAUCUUCAAUUCAUCAAAAUGAAGAGAGAAUCAGAAACCGAAGAUACCACAUCUGAAGGAUCAUGUGCAGACUAUGGAGGACCAUGCGAACAAGAUCCUUUCGAUUUCUGACUAUCUACUCAUAAAAAAGAAAAGAAAAAGAAAAAAGAAAAAAUUCAAA
This 252-nucleotide long non-coding RNA is filed under the name Salvia miltiorrhiza (redroot sage). Its description in RNAcentral is "long non-coding RNA (SMIL_LNC004075)". Lineage: Eukaryota; Viridiplantae; Streptophyta; Magnoliopsida; Lamiales; Lamiaceae. The record is from RNAcentral.